RNAcentral lists this ribosomal RNA (440 nucleotides) under uncultured bacterium. Its description in RNAcentral is "partial 16S ribosomal RNA". It matches the Rfam family "Bacterial small subunit ribosomal RNA", at positions 338 to 794 of the family's 1533-position model. The record is from RNAcentral.
CCUACGGGAGGCAGCAGUGAGGGAUAUUGCGCAAUGGGCGAAAGCCUGACGCAGCGACGCCGCGUGGGCGAGGAAGGCCUUCGGGUUGUAAAGCCCUUUUGGCAGGGAAGAGCAAGGACUGUACCUGCAGAACAAGUCACGGCUAACUACGUGCCAGCAGCCGCGGUAAAACGGAGGGAGCAAUAGUUAUUCGGAUUCACUGGGCUUAAAGAGCACGUAGGUGGCUAAGUAGGUCAUAUGUUAAAAACUUUGGCACAACAAAAGGAAUGCAUAUGAAACCGCUUAGCUUGAGUUCAGGGGAGGUAGGUGGAAUUCCCGGUGGAGCGGUAAAAUGCGUAGAUAUCGGGAAGAACACCUGCGGCGAAGGCGACCUACAAAACUGAUACUGACACUGAGGUGCGAAAGCUAGGGGAGCAAACAGGAUUAGAUCCCCUUGUAGU